GCAGUUUUGAAACGGAAUGGACUCUCAGCUCCAACUGAGAACUAUUUAUGAUUAUAUGGAUACAACUUGCAAGAGGCAGUUUUAGAAACCAAAGUGUGGAAAACAUUACAAAAUGACCCAGCUUGCAGAAAGCGAUUCUUCUGUGCACUGAACUGGGUCACUUAUAUUAGAUACAUCUCAGUCGCAUGCCUGCUUGGGUCUUGCCAGCACCAUGCAUUGUCUCUCUCAGCAGGAAGAAAAACAGAAACAGCCAACUGGGCUUCCAGGAUCCUCUCAGAGCAGAAGAAAAGGCUGUCUCUGGCCCUCCAUUUGCUUUAGGGAACUUCUUGUCUGGACUGUGUCCUGGGAUUUGGAUCACUGAGAAGCAAACUACAAAAUGGGAAAAAAAGAAAAUUGCAGAAACAGUGCAGCUGUCAUAAUACUGUGAACACAGCCAUGAAGAGUGACUCACAGCAUAAGCAAGGUGAACUUCAUCUUUAAUUUCAGUUCUCCCUACAGACUGUUUUCAUCUCUCACCACUAGCUGUGGUGGUCUAGCUGCGGUAUCUCAGUAGAUGGGGUAUCCAGGUCCCAAAACACUUUCUUAGGUUGAAAAAUGAAAGAGAGAGGAAAUGUAAUUUUCCACUGUGUACAGAUACAAAUCCAAGUGUUGGUAAAUUGAAUCGGCACUGCUUCAACAAUAUGCAGUCCUCAGGCUGGGCUCACAGGCACUGUUUAUCCAAUCAGAAACUAUACAAUCUUUAACCACCAUCUUACAUGGUCCUUGAGUGCAUCUCUGAUACUACAGACUGCUUACCCACUGUCAGGUGGUCAUCCUCCGUUACUGCUGAUCCUUACCUGCUGAUCAGAGUAUCCACAUGAAGAAACAAGGAGCUUAUGUUUUAAAAUUGUACCCAGAAUAUCACUCUCCAGAAAUCCAAAUGCAGACUAUUGCCUGACACUUCAUUAUGGGGGAUUUUCUCCCUCUCCAUUCACUACUUGGAAACUCUUCAAUUUGUAGCAGCUGUCUUAGCUGCAUGUAACCUUCAAUGGAAUAAUGAAGACAGUAAUAACCCCUUCCAGUAGAUCUGCUAUUACCUGUCUCUUCCCAGGAUGAUCAAAGGAGGAUCUUCUUUUCUAGUCCUACUACUAUCUUCCUAUGCUGCUGUCACAAACACUGAGAAUGUAACUCAUGUGAAGCAUCAAGUCCUCUCUCCUGCUAGGAGAAGAUUUUGCCCCU
Numida meleagris (helmeted guineafowl) is the source of this 1218-nucleotide long non-coding RNA. RefSeq lists it as uncharacterized. The record is from RefSeq and is a predicted model, not a curated record. The transcript has 3 exons. Lineage: Eukaryota; Metazoa; Chordata; Aves; Galliformes; Numididae.